Molecule: ribosomal RNA, 287 nt
Filed under: uncultured Borrelia sp.
Lineage: Bacteria; Pseudomonadati; Spirochaetota; Spirochaetia; Spirochaetales; Borreliaceae
Description: partial 16S ribosomal RNA
Rfam family: Bacterial small subunit ribosomal RNA
Source: RNAcentral
CAGCAGCCGCGGUAAUACGUAAGGGGCGAGCGUUGUUCGGGAUUAUUGGGCGUAAAGGGUGAGUAGGCGGAUAUAUAAGUCUAUGCAUAAAAUACCACGGCUCAACUGUGGAACUAUGUUGGAAACUAUAUGUCUAGAGUCUGAUAGAGGAAGUUAGAAUUUCUGGUGUAAGGGUGGAAUCUGUUGAUAUCAGAAAGAAUACCGGAGGCGAAGGCGAACUUCUGGGUCAAGACUGACGCUGAGUCACGAAAGCGUAGGGAGCAAACAGGAUUAGAUACCCUGGUAGU